UGGUUCUGGCAUCGAUGAAGAACGCAGCGAAAUGCGAUAAGUAAUGUGAAUUGCAGAAUUCAGUGAAUCAUCGAAUCUUUGAACGCAUCUUGCGCCUUCUGGUAUUCCAAAAGGCACACCUGUUUGAGUGUCAUGAAUACCUCAAUCCCUAUUUACACAAAUAGUGGUUUGGAUGUUGAGCUCUGCUGUUCUCAGCUGGCUUUAAAGACAUUAGCCAAUCCCUUUCUGUAGUGGACUGACUCGGCGUAAUAAACUUGUUUCGUCGAGGAUGUGCUUUCCAGCAGCCAAUACAGACAAAAGGGUGGCUUCUAAACCCCUUUUUCCUUUAGACCUCAAAUCAGGUGGGACUACCCGCUGG
RNAcentral lists this unclassified non-coding RNA (358 nucleotides) under uncultured fungus. Its description in RNAcentral is "partial contains 5.8S ribosomal RNA and internal transcribed spacer 2". The stretch from base 1 to 133 matches the Rfam family "5.8S ribosomal RNA", at positions 22 to 154 of the family's 154-position model. The record is from RNAcentral. Lineage: Eukaryota; Fungi.